Aedes aegypti (yellow fever mosquito) is the source of this 72-nucleotide non-coding RNA. Lineage: Eukaryota; Metazoa; Arthropoda; Insecta; Diptera; Culicidae. The record is from Rfam.
UAAUCGGUAGCUUAGUUGGUAAAGCACUCGUCUAGCAUACAAGAGUCCUGCGUUCAAAUCCCAGCCGAGCAC